Molecule: ribosomal RNA, 253 nt
Filed under: uncultured bacterium
Lineage: Bacteria
Description: partial 16S ribosomal RNA
Rfam family: Bacterial small subunit ribosomal RNA
Source: RNAcentral
UACGAAGGGGGCUAGCGUUGCUCGGAAUCACUGGGCGUAAAGCGCACGUAGGCGGGUGCUCAAGUCCGGGGUGAAAUCCUCCAGCUCAACUGGAGAACUGCCUCGGAUACUGGGUGCCUCGAGGGUGGUAGGGGUAUGCGGAACUAUCGGUGGAGCGGUGAAAUGCGUUGAUAUCGAUAGGAACUCCGGUGGCGAAGGCGGCAUACUGGACCACUUCUGACGCUGAGGCGCGAAAGCCAGGGGAGCAAACGGG